Molecule: ribosomal RNA, 318 nt
Filed under: Triticum aestivum (bread wheat)
Lineage: Eukaryota; Viridiplantae; Streptophyta; Magnoliopsida; Poales; Poaceae
Description: partial small subunit ribosomal RNA
Source: RNAcentral
AUGCCAGGCGAGUUCACCAAGUACUUGGCCAUCGACCCCGAGGAAUUCGUGUUGAGGAUGAACACCGACUGCGUCUGGAAGGUGACGGCCCGGAUGAUCACCGCCAGGCUCUCCCUUGAUCAGGGUUGGCCCUCCUUGAUCAUUGUUCAUCAGAUCAAGAUCAGAUACCUCGUCACCUUCAAGCUGGCGACUGCUAACACCCUAAAGGUGAUCUUCUUCAACGACGAUGGCAUCGAGGUGGUAAACAAGUGCCAGAAGCACGAGGAGGGUUGCCAAGGAAGUUAUCUCGCAACCUUCAAGACUUGCGUACGAUGUUAA